This 745-nucleotide long non-coding RNA is filed under the name Capsella rubella. Its description in RNAcentral is "long non-coding RNA (CRUB_LNC000966)". The record is from RNAcentral. Lineage: Eukaryota; Viridiplantae; Streptophyta; Magnoliopsida; Brassicales; Brassicaceae.
GGCGAGUAGUAAGGUGGUGGUGGAGAACUGUAAACGUAUGGUGGUGGUGGAGAUUUGUAGUCCACCUUAGGAGAAGGUGAGUAGUAAGGUGGUGGUGGGGAACUGUAGACAUACGGUGGGGGAGGAGAUUUGUAGUCAACCUUAGGAGAAGGCGAAUAGUAAGGUGGUGGUGGAGAACUGUAAACGUAUGGUGGUGGAGGAGACUUGUAGUCUACUUUAGGAGAAGGAGAGUAGUAAGGUGGUGGUGGGGAACUGUAAACGUAUGGUGGUGGAGGAGAUUUGUAGUCCACCUUAGGAGAAGGUGAAUAGUAAGGUGGUGGUGGGGAACUGUAAACAUACGGUGGUGGUGGAGACUUGUAGUCUACCUUAGGAGAUGGUGAGUAGUAUGGUGGUGGUGGAGAGCUGUAUACAUAAGGUGGGGGAGGAGAUUUGUAGUCAACCUUUGGAGAAGGCGAAUAGUAAGGUGGUGGUGGAGAACUGUAAACGUAUGGUGGUGGAGGAGAUUUGUAGUCUACCUUAGGAGAGGGCGAGUAGUAAGGUGGUGGUGGAGAACUGUAAACGUAUGGUGGUGGUGGAGAUUUGUAGUCCACCUUAGGAGAAGGUGAGUAGUAAGGUGGUGGUGGAGAACUGUAAACGUAUGGUGGAGGAGGAGACUUGUAGUCUACCUUAGGAGAGGGCGAAUAGUAUGGUGGUGGUGGAGAAUCGUAAACAUAUGGUGGGGGAGGAGAUUUGUAGUCCACCUUAG